This 321-nucleotide ribosomal RNA is filed under the name uncultured eukaryote. RNAcentral describes it as "partial 18S ribosomal RNA". It matches the Rfam family "Eukaryotic small subunit ribosomal RNA", at positions 1470 to 1796 of the family's 1831-position model. The record is from RNAcentral.
CCCUUAGAUGUCCUGGGCCGCACGCGCGCUACACUGACAUGUUCAACAAGCCUCCUAGUUCGACAGGAUUUGGGAAAUCUUUGAACACAUGUCGUGAUAGGGAUAGAUCAUUGCAAUUAUUGAUCUUGAACGAGGAAUUCCUAGUAAACGCGAGUCAUCAGCUCGCAUUGAUUACGUCCCUGCCCUUUGUACACACCGCCCGUCGCACCUACCGAUUGAAUGUUUCGGUGAAGAUUCCGGAUAGGACUUUUUUGAUUUAUUUCAAUUUUGUCUUAAAAGCUAUCUAAACCUCAACAUUUAGAGGAAGGUGAAGUCGUAACA